GUUAGGAAUCUUCCACAAUGGGGGCAACCCUGAUGGAGCAACACCGCGUGCUGGAUGAAGGCCUUCGGGUCGUAAACAGCUUUUGUAUACGAAGAAUAUGACGGUAAUAUACGAAUAAGGGUCGGCUAACUACGUGCCCGCAGCCGCGGUCAUACGUAGGACCCAAGCGUUAUCCGGAGUGACUGGGCGUAAAGAGUUGCGUAGGCGGCUUAUUAAGCGAGUAGUGAAAUCUGGUGGCUCAACCAUCAACACAUUGCUCGAACUGAUAGGCUUGAGAAUGGUAGAGGUAGUUGGAAUUUCUUGUGUAGGAGUGAAAUCCGUAGAUAUAAGAAGGAACACCAAUGGCGUAGGCAGACUACUGGACCAUUUCUGACGCUGAGGCACGAAAGCGUGGGGAGCGAACCGGAUUAGAAACCCCAGUAGUCC
RNAcentral lists this ribosomal RNA (426 nucleotides) under uncultured bacterium. RNAcentral's name for it is "partial 16S ribosomal RNA". It matches the Rfam family "Bacterial small subunit ribosomal RNA", at positions 354 to 796 of the family's 1533-position model. The record is from RNAcentral.